RNAcentral lists this ribosomal RNA (507 nucleotides) under Glomus sp. PSAMG5. Its description in RNAcentral is "SSU rRNA". It matches the Rfam family "Eukaryotic small subunit ribosomal RNA", at positions 569 to 1078 of the family's 1831-position model. Lineage: Eukaryota; Fungi; Glomeromycota; Glomeromycetes; Glomerales; Glomeraceae. The record is from RNAcentral.
AGCAGCCGCGGUAAUUCCAGCUCCAAUAGCGUAUAUUAAAGUUGUUGCAGUUAAAAAGCUCGUAGUUGAAUUUCGGGAUCAAUAUGUCGGUCGUGCUUCGGUACGUACUGGUAUCAUUGGUUUCUCCUUUCUGACGAACCAUGAUGUCAUUAAUUUGGUGUUAUGGGGAGUUAGGACUGUUACUUUGAAAAAAUUAGAGUGUUUAAAGCAGGCUUUAGCUUGAAUACAUUAGCAUGGAAUAAUGAAAUAGGACGUUCGAACCUAUUUUGUUGGUUUCUAGGAUCAACGUAAUGAUUAAUAGGGAUAGUUGGGGGCAUUAGUAUUCAAUUGUCAGAGGUGAAAUUCUUGGAUUUAUUGAAGACUAACUACUGCGAAAGCAUUUGCCAAGGAUGUUUUCAUUAAUCAAGAACGAAAGUUAGGGGAUCGAAGACGAUCAGAUACCGUCGUAGUCUUAACCAUAAACUAUGCCGACUAGGGAUCGGAUGAUGUUAAUUUUUUAAUGACUCA